This 779-nucleotide long non-coding RNA is filed under the name Bos taurus (domestic cattle). Its description in RNAcentral is "long non-coding RNA NONBTAT006544". The record is from RNAcentral. Lineage: Eukaryota; Metazoa; Chordata; Mammalia; Artiodactyla; Bovidae.
GUAACAACAACUGGGUUUUAUAACAUAAAAAACAGGAUAUCAGUGUUAUGUAUUCAGCAGGCAACAGUGUGUGGAACUAUUGAGCAGAUAAAUACUGCAUGAAAGUAUUAUACACUUGCAAAGAUUAAGAACCAUUCUGCCUGCUAAGCAAAAUAUAUUCUGAAGCCUGCUUGUUUUGUAAUGCUGGAUCUGGAUUUCUUUGCAAAGGAGGGGCGGUGGGUAAUCUGUUACUUUAAAAUUAAAAGAGAAGCAUUAAGCAAUAAAAUAAGAUACAGUGAAAUCUAGUUAUUGUAAAUUCCCACUAUACUUAAAGUAUUGUAAAAUAACUUAUUGGCUUUUUUUUUUCUAGCAGGGUGAAUAGAAUUUUUUUGAUUAUAGGUAUAUUUUUUAUUUUUAAAUGGCCAAUAUGGUUAUGGACAGGAUUUGUAUGUUUCAGCCUCUGUUCUUUCAUAAAACUUGAGAUAAAAAUUAUUUUAGCUGUGACCUAAAAUUAAAGUCUGAAAAAUGGCACGUAUUAAGUUAAAAGCAGCAUAUACUAGUUUAGUUUGCUGUAUGAUGCUGAUCUUGUAGGAAAAUCUGAUAAGCUUUCUUUUGUCCUGACUUAGAAAAGUAUGUGUCAGAGUUCUGGAAUAUGUCUAAUUUACUUCAGUGAAUUUAUCUGCUUAAGUAUGUUUAUAACAUAUAAAGCAAAUAAGGAUGUGUAACUAUAGUUAACAGUACAAUUUUGUCCAUAUUAUCUAAACGUUUGCUAAAAGAAAAAAUAAAAGAUGAAUUAAAUC